GACGAACGCUGGCGGCGUGCUUUACACAUGCAAGUCGAACGCAUCCUUCGGGGUGAGUGGCAGACGGGUGAGUAACGCGUGGGAACGUGCCCUUCAGUUCGGGAUAACCCAGGGAAACUUGGGCUAAUACCGGAUACGUGCGAGAGCAGAAAGAUUUAUCGCUGAAGGAUCGGCCCGCGUCUGAUUAGCUAGUUGGUGGGGUAAUGGCCCACCAAGGCGACGAUCAGUAGCUGGUCUGAGAGGAUGAUCAGCCACAUUGGGACUGAGACACGGCCCAAACUCCUACGGGAGGCAGCAGUGGGGAAUAUUGGACAAUGGGCGCAAGCUUGUGCCAGCCAUGCCGCGUGAGUGAUGAAGGCCUUAGGGUUGUAAAGCUCUUUCGUCCGGGACGAUAAUGACGGUACCGGAAGAAGAAGCCCCGGCUAACUUCGUGCCAGCCGCCGCAGUAA
This 449-nucleotide ribosomal RNA is filed under the name uncultured bacterium. RNAcentral's name for it is "partial 16S ribosomal RNA". It matches the Rfam family "Bacterial small subunit ribosomal RNA", at positions 28 to 523 of the family's 1533-position model. The record is from RNAcentral.